AGCAUGGGAUAAUGGAAUAGGACCCUGUCCUCCUAUUUUCAGUUGGUUUUGGCAGCGCGAGGACUAGGGUAAUGAUUAAUAGGGAUAGUUGGGGGCAUUAAUAUUUAAUUGUCAGAGGUGAAAUUCUUGGAUUUAUGAAAGAUUAACUUCUGCGAAAGCAUCUGCCAAGGAUGUUUUCAUUAAUCAAGAACGAAAGUUAGGGGAUCGAAGACGAUCAGAUACCGUCGUAGUCUUAACCAUAAACGAUGCCGACCAGCGAUUAGGAGACGUUGAAUACAAAACACCACCAUCGGCGCGGUCGUCCUUGGCGUUCGUGUUCACGCACGAGCGCGAGGGCGGUUUAGCCCGGUGGCACCGGUGAAUGACUCCCUAGCG
RNAcentral lists this ribosomal RNA (375 nucleotides) under Acanthamoeba genotype T4. RNAcentral describes it as "SSU rRNA". The stretch from base 1 to 319 matches the Rfam family "Eukaryotic small subunit ribosomal RNA", at positions 806 to 1114 of the family's 1831-position model. Lineage: Eukaryota; Discosea; Longamoebia; Acanthamoebidae. The record is from RNAcentral.